Molecule: ribosomal RNA, 484 nt
Filed under: uncultured bacterium
Lineage: Bacteria
Description: partial 16S ribosomal RNA
Rfam family: Bacterial small subunit ribosomal RNA
Source: RNAcentral
AUUGAACGCUGGCGGCAUGCUUUACACAUGCAAGUCGAACGGCAGCGCGGGCUUUGGCCUGGCGGCGAGUGGCGAACGGGUGUGUAAUGCAUCAGAAUGUGCCCAGUAGUGGGGGAUAGCCCGGCGAAAGCCGGAUUAAUACCGCAUACGACCUGCUGGUGCUAGCGGGGGACCGAAAGGCCUCGCGCUAUUGUAGGGGUUGAUGCCGGACUAGCUAGUUGGUGGGGUAAAGGCUUACCAAGGCGGCGAUCCGUAGCUGGUCUGAGAGGACGAGCAGCCACGCUGGGACGGAGACGCGGCCCAUUGUGCUACGGGUGGCAGCAGUGGGGAAAUUGGGACAAUGAGGGCAACCCUGAUCCAGCCAUGCCGCGUGCUAAAAGAGGACCUUCGGGUUGUGAACCGCUUUUGUUCGGGAAGAAAUCCUCUGGGCUAAUACCCCAGGGGGAUGACGGUACCGGAAGAAUAAGCAACGGGUAACUACGUU